This is a long non-coding RNA of Sebastes umbrosus (honeycomb rockfish), 309 nucleotides long. RefSeq lists it as uncharacterized. NCBI's taxonomy places the organism in Eukaryota, Metazoa, Chordata, Actinopteri, Perciformes, Sebastidae. The transcript is spliced from 4 exons. The record is from RefSeq and is a predicted model, not a curated record.
UAGCAACGCAAUUCCAUUGCAAUUCCCUUGAAAUGCACUAAAACUGUAUUGUAUUGUAUGUUGACAUAGCUGUCCCUUUAAUAUUUCUGGCUGUAUUGGGCCACUGUGGGUUAUUACAAUGUUUUAUGGAAACAUCAGAUUGAGAGAAUUUUUGCCAUAUUUUUCAAGAGUUAGUCAACCCCCCUCCACCACCACCACCACCUGACAGAAAAGACUUAGCUAUCACAAGAUGGAUCCCACCACCAUACCACCUUGGAUGUAGAUACACCAAAGGAUUUAAAAGACAUGGACCGAGGAUGGACCCGACCA